CCAUCCAUAACCGAAUAGGCAAAGGUUCUUUCUUCAUCUCCUGCAACGAGUAAUCCUAUUGCAGCCUCUGGUGUAAGGGUUAACCGGAGCUCUAGAUUUGAAGCAAUUAUUAGUAUAAUAAGAUCUACCUGACCUUGGAGGGCAAGGAAUUCUAUUAGCCGCAAGAGCUCCGUAAGAGAUAUAAUAAUGAACUCUUCUCCAGAACAAAGAUCUACGGUCGCCUAUCUCUUCAUUUUCUUCGUCACUAUCUAAAUCUAUCAAUCCAUUGUCGAACUCACCUUUCCCUUCCAAAUCACUGUACAUAGACAUCGCCAUUGGCCAUUCGAGACUGUCCGCCAUUAUCUUCAACCCUGUUUCUUCCACUUGAGCUUCGAUUCCUAAGCUAAGAGAGAGGGAAACAGCGAAAAGGAAAGUUAAGUGUUUAGAAAUCGCCAUUGGAGGGAGAGAUUUGAAACUAAACUAAGCUUGAGAGAGACUUAAGUAUGUCUGUCAAUGGCUAGUUGGGUGCUUUCUUUUUGAGUGAUGGAGAGGGAAAAGGAAGAGUAGGGACAAGAGGAAGAGGUCACAUGGAGCUGCAGUUGAAGAUAGAGAGAGAUUGAUUGGGUUACAGCUGUGCUUCAUCAAUGCAUCAAUUAACGCGUCGUCCAAUUCUGGUACAGUUUUGUUCGCGCAAGGGAGAGAGUAGAAAGAAAUGAUUCUGUGUGUUAGGUUCCACAAGAUAGAUUUGUGGUAUGAUGGGUUUCUUGAAAUGUGGCAGUAUCUAAAUGGGUGUUAUGGGAAGUGACAAGUGGAAAUACUGUGUUAAACGGUGUCGAAUUCGUCUCUUUCUCUAUUUUGCGCAAAGGGUGGCGAAUAAGACAGCGGUACAUUCGGCAGGUUGUCCUAAACGACGCGGCUGGUCGGACAUGUUCGGUCCCACAUUAAAGUCAUAUAUGUAUAAUAUUAAUAUUACCAAUUAUUAAUCAUCUACUUCUCCAAAAAGAAAAAAAAAAUUAUGAAUCCCCUAGAUUGAUAAUUGAUCCCAACCUUAAACUUAACAAUAAAAAAAUCCUUUCAAUCAAAUUUUAAAAAACGGAAAGGUUGUUUUUCUUUUUCUAAUAUAAUAUCCUCAGAAGUGGAAUUAUUAGUGAGAUUUUGAACUCAAUUUUUAAAAAGAAAAUAUAAAUUAAUUAUGAUGCGGUUAAAACAGUAUUAUGGAAUCAGAUUGACCAGUGAGACCAGUUAAAAUAGAAAAUGACACUUUUAAUUUAAUUAUAAAGUUAGCCCAAUUUGUAGGGAACCAAAUGUUAGAAUAAUUGAAUUUUUUUAUAAAAAUAUAUUGUUUUCAUUUAACAAUUUUUUUAGAAAUUAUUGAGUAAAAUUUUUUUAUUUAUAUAUAUUAUUUUGUUUUAUAGGAUGCAUAUUUAAUGAGAAUAAUAUAUCAUAUAUAUUAACUAUUACAAAAAUAAUAUAUAUAUAAAUGUUAAAAAAAAAAAAGAUUGAAUCGGUCUGAUUUUAACUCAAUCAUAGCAUCGAUUCGGUUGUUGAUCCGGUUCACUUUGAUUUCGAGAAAUAUAUGGUCAGAUUUUUUUUGAGUUGCUGGCUAUUAUAAUAAAAAAUAAAUCCAAUUUUAUCCCUAUCCUAUUUUUCAAAAUUCGUUGGGUACAACAUUAUCAUGUAUGUAUCUGAAUAGUCGGUGCUAAAUGUUGGGAUAGAUUGACACAUUUAAUGAUCUUCCAAGGAGGCCAUCUAGCGUUCUCUAAUACAAGGCCAACUCCCUCACAAUUGAUUUUGCUCCGAGUAUAAUCUUGUAACUACCAGAAUACAUAUAUUCACCCCUCCAAUCUCACAUUUUAUAAUUUUAAUUUUGUAACAAUUUAAACUUUAUAAUAUGGUUUAUCAUGCAUCUGAAUUUACAAAUUUUAAUAACACUGCAUAUAUUUACACAUUAAAGAUAAUAAUUUUUAAAGUUUUUUAAUUUUUAUAUGUAAAAUGCUGAUUUGAUAUGUAAUUAGUAUAAUUUUUGUAUAAAUAUUUAAGUAAUCUAAUUUCGUAAAUCAAAGUGUUUAAUUUAUGUAAUUUUAUAAUUUAAAGUAAAAAAAAAAGCCGAAAGUGACAUAAAUUUAAACUAAUAAGGUUUAGGGAUGGAUUUAUGUAUUAAUUAUUUAGAUUUCUUCUUUCUAAAUUUUCUUUCUAUAUUGUGUGCAGUAAGAGAGAGAAUAUAUUUGCUAAGUUGAUGUAAAAUCUAGAUCAUCUUUCUUUGCAUUUAUCUAUGAAGUUCAGAAUCUUAUAAUUCAUGUUUAAUUUCUUAAUAAUAAAAAUUAACAUUUGAAAUCAAGUUAAAUUCUGAGAUUGAAGAGAAUUAUUGCAACCAAAAAAAAAAAAAAAACUACUAAUAAAGGUAAAUGGGCUCGCAAGCGCAUAUUAUCUUGGAUUUAAAUUCAUAGGCUUAAAAACCCAAAAGACCAUUCAUUUUGUUCAUCAAAAGCCAAGCCCACCUAUAGACUUUUCAAGCCCAAAAGAAAGGGCUAGAUUGGGCACAAAUUGAAAGUCAAUAAUCAAAAUGGAGAACACGAGUAGCUUGAUGAAGGAGAUAGGGUGCUUGGAAUUUGGAUCUGUUUCUAUGGGCUGCCCUAGAAAUAGAACACCUACCUAAACUAUAUGCCAAUAGAUUGAAUUUAAGACUUUCAAUCGCUCCAUACUGUAAAAAAGAAAUGAACCCAACUUCUAACUAGUCGCUUAUCACUGCUUAUCACUUAUUAUGAUUCAUAAACUCGGUCUAGACAAGAUAAUCAUUUAAAUUUUUUAAAUAUAUAUAUAUAUUACCCACACAUAUUAAUUUUUCUGACCAAGCUCACCCCCAAGGCUCUUGGAUUCUCUUAAUGAGGCUAUAAGAUUGGACAAAAGCUAUGACAAAUAAUAUAUAUAUAUAUAUAAUGCAGUACUUAUAUAAUUAAGAAAUUAAAGAAACCGUGACAACCAAUGAGAUAACUCAAUCAUUACUCAGUAUGACAAUCUCAGCUGUUAGUGGUCCGUUAUUCAUUGUUUUUACUGUCAUACAGAUUCCUUUCUUCUCUCCAUAUAUAUUUGCAUGCUGAAAAUGGCAGAGAGAACCCACAGGAAAAUGCCAUUUUAGUCCAGUUCUAAAUGGAUUAAUUAAAGAACAAACUUUAAAAAAAAAAGAAAAGAAAAGAAAAAAACUUAUCGUUCCAAUUGGACUGAACAGAGCUGAAUGCGUGUAAGUAUUAAUUUCAUGACCUAUAUAGUUUUGACGAAAGUGCACCGACCCUUAAUUCUUAGCUAGCUUUUACAUUUUUUGCAGGGGUUGACACUGCAAUUUUGUGCAUUUAUGAAACCAAACUGUCACUCUCUCUUUAUAUAUAUAGUACAGUUGAAUUUUAGAGCCCGCGUGUGAGGACCUAUUAUUGCACCAAGCUCAAGCUGUUCAUGAGCUGAGUAUGAACUUUGGAAAUAUUAAAUUUUCCAAAAAUCUGGCUCAUUGGGUUUGUAACUCUUUUUUUAUAAAUUGAAAUUUAACCGUUAUGUAAAUGAGACUAAUUUAUGUCUGACAUGGAUUGUAUUCAGCUAAACUCAGUUUUUUUUUAAAGAACGACUCCAAGUCUCAAAUCUCUUAUUUUACAAGUAUAGUUGACUUAAAAUAUAGUUUACAUCAACUGUUCCAACUUUUUUCAGAGUUUUGUGGGAAGCAGUGGCAGUAAAAAAAAAAAAAUGUUAAUGGUGAUUAUGAGAAAUAAAAGGUAGACAACGUGAAAAGAAGCAGCUGCAAUGUGGGUAUUGGUUUGUCCAUUUUGGGGUAACUUAUGGGAGAGAAAGGAGGGGCGAAGAUUAUCAUGUUGAAGGAAAAGACAGAGAAAAGGGACCAUUUUCUGAGGAAAAUGGCAAUUAUCUCGUCAGUGUUAGAAUAAAAAAUAAUAUCAUAAACAGUAGUGUUUUGUGUAAUUCUUUUAUCUUAUUUUAUUUGCUUAUAGAAACAGAAUGAAUUGUAGGUUACUUUGAGUAUACUCAGAAUUGUAAGGAUAAAUCUCUAGUGAGUUCUAUUUAAUGUCCAAUUGAAGAGAGAGAGGUCCUCUACCACGUGCAUAUCUUAAAUCUUUAUGCUGUAGAGAUAAGAUAAUAAUAAUUCAAGAGAAAAGGAAAGAACUAUAUUGAACAACUCACACUCUCGCACUCAUAAACAGCCAUUCUUUACAUUUUGGAUUCUUUCUGUAUUUAGUUUUGAUGCCUUCAGUAUAGAACAGAACAUGUUCCCUUAUUUGAAUCAUCUUCUUCUAUUAGACUACGUGUUUUUCUAUAUAUAUAUAUAUAUAUAUAUAUAUAUAACAUUUUUCAUUUACUUUAUUUAACAAGAGAUUUAAAAUCUUACCGCAUUUUAUUUCUUUUUCACUAUUAAAUUAAACGAGUCGAGUUGAAUUGUAACGAACUCGAACAAAGUACUUAGACUCAAAUUUAAAUUCAAAUUUGAGCUCCACCCAUUUACUAAAUUUUAUUAAAUUUAUCAAAGGAAUAAAAAAAUAAUUUUAAAGGAAAUAUGAUGUCAUAACUAAGUUGCAAGAUUGGACUUACUUCCACAAGGAUAGAGAGCCGAAAGGCACCUUACACAAAUAAAGUCAAAUCACCAGCUAGCACCUAAAGAAAUUUACCAGUACAAAAGAAAUGAUCAGCUCAUGUACUUGCUCUACGAGUCGGACAGAGUCACAAUCAACCCUAAUCUGCUUUGAAAAGUGUGCCAAAGGGAGCAGCCCGAGAGGUGCGUCAGUUAAUGUACUAAUGAUCAUAACCCACCACCGGAAAGCCGGAAUGCUCCGCCGGCGGUGAUCUGUAAAUCAUAGAAUUGGCUGGUUAAUUUGCUUUGAGAAUAAUAAAUUAUGGGUCAAGGUGGGCGUUGGUGAUCUUCUGACAAAUGGCAUGUGAGUGGGGUUUCAAUAGUUCUUUUGUUAGUGAAAAAAAAUAUUUUAAAUUAGAAAUGGGAAAGAAAAAUCAAUCUAAGUAAGCAAAGCAAUAGCACUUACACAACUCAAAGAUCAAAAGCACUUAUUAUUAAAGGGGAUGCCAUAAAAGAAAGUCUCUCAAAGGGGUUCAUGCACCAGUACUCUUUAAUCUGAGCCUUCUACUUUGUGGGCCUAGUUUCAUGAAAGGUCUAUUUACCAUUGAUCUUUUCUACUUAUAGUUUAGAUUUUUCUAUUCAUUUAUCACUGGUAAAGAUCCAACGGCUGUUAAUCAAUAUCUUUAGAUUUAGGCCCACAUAAUGGGCGGUCACUAUCAAAAAUCAUAAAUUCAUCAUAAAUGAUCUCUGAGUCUUCUCUUUCUCUCUCUGUCAACUUUGCAUGAAUAAAAUAUUACAAACAAGUUGCUAUAUAAAGACUCACUUCUGUAACCCUACUGAAUUGGUGAUGGGUUUCUGAGAUAAUCCUGAACUUUCCAUCUCUAUAUUACACUUUUCUUCUACUUCUCCAUUUUUUUUUCUUUUAUCUCUCUGCUGCAUAAACAUCAAAAUCUUAAAAAAAUUAAAAAAGAAACCUAGUUUCUCUCUCUCUUAAGCUUCUCUCUUCUUCUUUCAGUUUCUCCAUACCUCUGUUACUCAGUUCAUCAAUCUCUCUCUCUCUUUCAGCCCAUUCUUUUCUCCAUACAGAGACUUUCUUUUCUUUCCUAAAUUCUUGGGUUCUUUCUUUCGUUCUUUCUUUUAUAAGCAUGGAUGUUGACAUGAUGAAAUCAUCAUCAUCAUCAUCAUCAGGAGAGGAACACAUGGACAUGAUGACAAUGAUGAUGCAAAUGGAAAAGCUUCCUGAUUUUUGUGACCCUAAUAUGCAACAAGAAAUCCAUUUUGGCUCCAAUGGAAAUAAUACUAUUUAUAAUGUUUCUGCUUCUUCUUCACUUCUUAACCCUAACCCAUCUCCUUCUUUACCAUUUUUGGCCACUACAACUCCAAUUCAAGAACCCAUUACAGGAUCUCUUCAGCCUAAUAUGGUAACAGCAACAAAAUUCAAAUAUCCACCUCCAUUUUCAAAUGCAAACUCGUUUUUAUCAUCAAUGGAAAAGAAAAACUCAACAGCAGCCAUUAGAGAAAUGAUUUUUCGCAUUGCUGCUAUGCAACCGAUUCAUAUAGACCCAGAAUCGAUAAAGCCUCCAAAAAGAAGGAACGUUAAAAUAUCUAAAGAUCCACAGAGUGUAGCAGCAAGGCAUAGGAGGGAAAGAAUAAGCGAAAGGAUAAGGAUUUUACAAAGAUUAGUUCCAGGAGGGACUAAAAUGGACACUGCUUCUAUGUUAGAUGAGGCUAUACAUUAUGUCAAGUUUUUGAAAAAGCAAGUGCAGUCUUUAGAACAAGCUGGGUCUAAUAGACCAAUGGCUGGCUUUCCGUUUUCAGGUUUAACAAUGCCUAAUAUGGGUUAUUCUUCUUUGGUUAAGAAUUGCCAGUCAAGUCCUCAUAUGGUGGGCUCAAUGCAGAUACUUAGAUAAAAGACAGGAUUGGGUUAAGGUUAAUUAUAUGAUUUUAAUGUGCAUUAGUUGUGGUUUGAGAGAUAUUGUAAAUUACUUAAGAUUAUUCAGCUGUUAUCUUGUUCCCUUUGUUGUGUAAUAUUAUUUCAAAUUGAUGAUUCUAAUUAUCAUUAUUAAUUAAUGUAAGCCUUGUUCCAAAAAUUCUAUUGUAUCUCUUCUCUCGUUAGAAUGUUGAAAAGAUCAAUGUCUAAUCUAUGACUUAAUUAAUUAAUUAUCAUAUCAAGUAAUUAAUGAAAUGGACUUAGAAAAAAGGAAUAUAGAUGCAUACGGCCUGUUUAAAUCUUCUUUCUGUCUGUCUGUCUUUCUUUUCCCCCUCUCUAUUUCUUCACUCUUGUUCGUUUUUAGAAACUUUCUUUUCUGUUUUUGAACUUCUAGAGAUUUUUCUUCUUUUCUUUUUUUCCUUUUCUAUAUAUACUCCAAAAGAAAAAUCUUAUAUAAGUGUCAAAGACUUAGAGAGUCAACAGUACUAAUAUAUAUAUGUAACCAUGCCAUGCUGUAAAGUUGGUUGGGAUAGUUUUAACACCUUAAACCUUGGAUCUUUUGUUACAUUAUGAAGCAGAUAUUUAAUUGUUUAGUUAUUAGGCAAAGGUCUAUGUAGUUUGUACUAAAUGUUAUGAACAAUAUGUACUUGAUUUUGAGCAAUUGAAGGAUCAAUUUAUUUUUUAUCGAAGAAUACAAAAUGAGGAAGCCUCUCAAUGGAGCGUUUGAAUGAGAAAAGCACGGACAGAAUCUGGUAAAAAUUCAGAACUAAGCUAUAAUUGCCUUCUGGGGUUCGACCAACAUUAAUUGAACCUUUACAGUAAGUGAAAUGGGGAUUGCCCAAAAGGUCGAUCGGUUACAUAUUUCCCAUACUUUGUACACAAAAAUAAGAGAUGAAUGUUGAGCUGUACAAAGAUAGUUUGGCACCCAACUUGCAGGAGAUGCUUCUCUUGAAGAGACUCCAUUCAAUAUCUUUUGUAAUUCAGUGUUCAUUGUAUACUGUUGUUCUACCAAAAUUCCUUUAGAUUCAACUUUAUCAUUGGAAUGGCUCACCCGAUCAAUUAUUUUUGGCACCCAUUCUAACCAUUCUGCUGUUUCAGACUAUUCCUUCUGACGAUCGAUUCUCAACUUCUUGCAAAAAGAAAAGACACAACUUGGUAAAGAUUCAACAGCCUAUUAUUCUGCUGGAGAAUAUGAUUAGAUUUCAUCAGAUUAGGAAAGAACCAAGCCAUCCUUAUCUAUACAUGGCUUUAUCAGUAUUUUAAAUUGCAACAUUCAAUUUUCAACCAUUAACUUUUUAUUGUUCGAGGAGUUCAAAUGAGAAGGCAUUGGAAAAUAAGAGGGACAAAAGAAUACUAUUUAGAAGACUAAAUCAAAUUGUCAUCAACUAACACCAGAGAUAUGAGUGCACAGUUGUUUUUACGUACUCUUCAAUCACAAAUAAUUAGAAAAAAGAAAUAUGAGAAAUGACUUAAACGAUAAGAUAUGUUUGAGUUGAGUGGACGGUUUCUAUAAAAAAAAUUACUUAUAAGAUAACUACGAAUUCUAAAACUAAAAUAAUCGUAUACUGAAAAAGUAUGACCUAGAAUAUAUAAUUAAAAAGCCGUGUAAAUUUGGGAUUUUCAUAAUAAUGCCAAAAAAUAAUUAAAAAAAAAAAUAGGCAACAUUAAUCUGAGUGGCCAAACUAAGUCACGCUCCAAAUCUCGUUAUCUCUGGAAAACUAAGACAACUAGUAUUUUUGUGAAUAGUUAACAUAAAACAAUUGAUUUUAGGAAUUCCAAAAAAAGGAAGAUUUAUUUUGGAAAUUGCAUUUGUGGGAGAAUUAAAAAAUUUUAUACUUUAUUAGUUAAAUUAAAAUUAUGUAUUCCACUCAAAAAAAAAAAAAAAAUGGAAGCAUACCUCCUAAUUUAUUUUUCUAAAUAUAAAAAAUACAUUUUNNNNNNNNNNNNNNNNNNNNNNNNNNNNNNNNNNNNNNNNNNNNNNNNNNNNNNNNNNNNNNNNNNNNNNNNNNNNNNNNNNNNNNNNNNNNNNNNNNNNNNNNNNNNNNNNNNNNNNNNNNNNNNNNNNNNNNNNNNNNNNNNNAAUAUAUAUAUAUAUAUAUAUAUAUAUAUAUAUAUAUAUUUCAGCUUAAUCUAACAUAGAAAGAUUUUUUUUUUUCUAUGGAUAUUAUCGUAAGUUUUAUAUUGUUGGUUGUUCUUACAUGUUAUUUAAAAAAGAGUUACCAAGGUCUUCUUUUGGUUUGGUGUCGGGCUAUGGCAAUGUUAUCUUGCAGGUUGAUUCAACUAGCCUCAACAUAGAUCACCAGGUCUGAUUAUGGCUUGUCAAAAACUUCUUCUUCGUUAAUGGCAGGUUUCCAUUACAAAGAUUUAUAAAGAAGCAAUUUUUGCAGCAAUCGCCUUUGACUUUUCCUAGCGGAAUUAAUGUGUUAAAUCAACUUUUCCAUGGCAAUAAGAAGAUCGAUAGAAGUUGAUAGUUGUAGUGUGUUUUUUCCCUCGAACUAUUGCAGUGUAGAUUGGGUUUACAGCCCUCCACUUAGAUCAAAAUAAAUAAAAAAAUAACUUGCAACAAAGCUAAUAUUAUUGACUAACUUUCAUCCAUUACAUUAAUGGAAAAAAAAAAAAAAAAAACAUAUCAUUUAUACUAGAUUUAUGAGGUUGGUGAAGAAGUAUGACAUUUUAUAUAUGAUCUAGCUAGUUUCAAAUUUAGGAUUUUGAUAUGUAAAAAGCGAGAAAUAAAUCUAUUGAUCAAGUAAGUUAAUCAUUCUUGUAUAUUUUCCAUUGCAAGAUUUACAACAACGUAAUACAUGUCCUUUUAUUUAGAUUUUAUAUAUCAAUUCGUCAGAUGAAAAAGAAAUUGUUAGAAUCUUGAAGAAAUUACAAACUUUAUUAGUAUUUAACCAAAUGAGCUAAAAUCAGAAUGCAACUUUAUAUGCAAUUUUUAAAUAUGUUCUAUAUAUACUGAAUUAAAUGAAAUCUUUUCAAAGCAAAACAAACUUUUCCUCUAUUUUAAUUAGUCAAACAUCAUACUACAAAAAAAAAAAAAAAAAAAUCAGACAGUUGAAGUUAUUAUAAGUAGUUAGCAAAGUUGACUAAUGAAAUUUUAUCUUAAACAGAAUGGUCUGAAAAAGACAUCAACACGAGUGGGAUUAUAGAAAAAAAAAAAAAAAACCAAUUUGAUAAUUUAUUUAGUUAUUUAAAAAUUUUAGUUUAUUAAUUUGGAAUGGGCAGGUAGGUUGCCUCCCAAGGCAGGGUCGAAUUAUGGUAGUGUUGAUGUCUUAAGGAUCAUGCUUCGCUAAAAGCCAAUCUCUCUCCCUCUUUCUCACCUCUAGCUAUCCAAAUAAAGCCAAAGUGGGUAUUAUUAUUAUUAUUACUGUUAUUUUUAAUUUAUUAUUAUAUAAAAACUAUAUUAUAAAGAGAAGAGAAUUAAAGAAAAAGAUAAAAAUGGUCAAACCGCAUCUAACAAAUAGAAAGGCAUGUGUGAUAUGCCACUAAGGUCCCAACAUACCCACAGUGGGCUUUUGAUUAUUUGAAUUUAGGACAUUUUAUAUAUAUAGUGCAUUGUAUUGUAUCCCUCUUUCUGACACAUUCUAUCAUUCUUUUUAUCAUUUCAUUCAUAUACCCAUCUACCUCUUUUCUUAGGAUAAGUUCCCAUGUUCUUUGUGGCAGGAUAAAAAAGCCUAUAAUAAGAACAUUCUUAGAAUUUUUUUUUUUUUUUUUACCCUUUUCAUUAUCUUUUUCUAUCUCCAUAAUUAAAGAUCAAUGCGCUUUUUUGUUAGCUAAUGGUUUUGAAUUAAUUGAAUGUUAGUUAUAUAUGACUUUCAGAGAAUUAAUUACUAAAUAUGUUAGAAUUAACUGAUUAAGGGACUAUAUAGUAUUUUUUUUUUAUAUAUAAUUAAUGAAUUAUUUAUUACUUUAAAAGACUAAGGGAGGUGAUACAAUAAUGCUAGGGAGGUGCGACUAUAAAUGCAAAUUGCCAAAUAGGUCAAAUGAGAUUUAAACAUAUUACAUAGGUUGAAAUGUGAAAAUAAUUUUUUUUUAAAAAAAAAAAAUUACAUGAUGCGAACAGAGACAAUAAAAUGGUUGGUUGGAUUAGACCUUGGCAGAAGUGCUCACUUUAUAGGGACAGGUGGAGAGGACUUACUCUCAUCUAUUUUUCUUUUGGUUUGAUUUGGACUUUUUAAGAGUUUCUUCCAAUUCCAUUAUUUCUGUCCCUUAUGCAAGGUGAGAUGAAUUUUAAUUUUUCAAAUCCGACAAAAUAAAUUUCGACAAAUCAAUCAUUCUACAUGGCUUUGCCUCUUCUCCGGGAUUUUUUUUUUUAAAGAAUAAAAUAAAAUAAUUGUUCUUAAAUUCUACCACAUCAAAUCACUAUUUUCAGAUUUCGAACUUUUCACCUUAUAAAGUAAAAUUCGCUGAGUUGAUCCAACCACUUAUUGAAAAAAUGAAAAAAAAAAUGCCCAUUUCAACGUCAAUAAUGCAAAAAAAAAAAAAAAAAAAAAAAAAAAUUGCAUGGGAUUUUGGGUUGGGUUGGGCUGAAGUUGAUUUAGUUGGGCCAUAACCUCAAUUGAUUGCAGGAAGAGUUUCCCGAUUAACAAUUAUUAUUAUUAUUAUAAUUUAUAUCAAUCCCUUGAUUUCCUAUAUUUAAAAGAUUUUUAUUUAGUUAGUAUCUACAUACAUAUAUAAAAAUAGCAGAUUCAAAUUUGUUGAAGCUAGAGCUAGCUAGACAGGGUUGA
This 11200-nucleotide long non-coding RNA is filed under the name Jatropha curcas. Its description in RNAcentral is "long non-coding RNA (JCUR_LNC002085)". Lineage: Eukaryota; Viridiplantae; Streptophyta; Magnoliopsida; Malpighiales; Euphorbiaceae. The record is from RNAcentral.